Molecule: non-coding RNA, 76 nt
Organism: Bos taurus (domestic cattle)
Lineage: Eukaryota; Metazoa; Chordata; Mammalia; Artiodactyla; Bovidae
Source: Rfam
CUGUUCCUUUUUCCUAUGCAUAUACUUCUUUGAGGGUCUGGCCUAAAGAGGUGUAGGGCAUGGGAAAAUGGGGCCC